RNAcentral lists this ribosomal RNA (458 nucleotides) under uncultured bacterium. RNAcentral's name for it is "bacterial SSU rRNA". It matches the Rfam family "Bacterial small subunit ribosomal RNA", at positions 33 to 507 of the family's 1533-position model. The record is from RNAcentral.
GAACGACGCUGGCGGCGUGCUUAACACAUGCAAGUUGAACGGGCAUACAUGGAAGCUUGCUGAAGUGUAUGUUAGUAGCGGACGGGUGAGUAAUGCAUGAGGACCUGCCUACCGGAGGGGGACAACAGUUGGAAACGGCUGCUAAUACCCCGUAUGCCGAGAGGUGAAAGGAAUGGAGACAUUCCGCCGGGAGAGGGACUCAUGUCCUAUCAGCUAGUUGGUGAGGUAACGGCUCACCAAGGCGACGACGGGUAGCCGGCCUGAGAGGGCGACCGGCCACACUGGAACUGAGAGACGGUCCAGACUCCUACGGGAGGCAGCAGUGGGGAAUAUUGGGCAAUGGGGGCAACCCUGACCCAGCGACGCCGCGUGAGGGAAGAAGGCCUUCGGGUUGUAAACCUCUUUUGUACGGGAAGAUAAUGACGGUACUGUACGAAUAAGUCCCGGCUAACUACGUG